RNAcentral lists this transfer RNA (73 nucleotides) under Stegodyphus mimosarum. It matches the Rfam family "tRNA". Rfam says of the family: Transfer RNA (tRNA) molecules are approximately 80 nucleotides in length. Their secondary structure includes four short double-helical elements and three loops (D, anti-codon, and T loops). The record is from Rfam by way of RNAcentral. Lineage: Eukaryota; Metazoa; Arthropoda; Arachnida; Araneae; Eresidae.
GUCUUCGUGGUGUAAUGGUUAGCACGCUCGGCGCGUUAUCGAGAGGUUCGUGGUUCGAGUCCCCGCGAGGGCA